Molecule: ribosomal RNA, 380 nt
Filed under: uncultured bacterium
Lineage: Bacteria
Description: bacterial SSU rRNA
Rfam family: Bacterial small subunit ribosomal RNA
Source: RNAcentral
GACGAACGCUGGCGGCGUGCUUAACACAUGCAAGUCGAGCGGUAAGGCCCUUUCGGGGGUACGACGAGCGGCGAACGGGUGAGUAACACGUGGGUGACCUGCCCUCAGCUCUGGGAUAAGCCUGGGAAACCGGGUCUAAUACUGGAUAUGACUCCAUGACGCAUGUUGGUGGGGUGGAAAGCCUUGUGCGGCUGAGGAUGGGCCCGCGGCUAUCAGCUUGUUGGUGGGGUGAGGCCUACCAAGGCGACGACGGGUAGCCGGCCUGAGAGGGCGACCGGCCACACUGGGACUGAGACACGGCCCAGACUCCUACGGGAGGCAGCAGUGGGGAAUCUUGCGCAAUGGGCGAAAGCCUGACGCAGCGACGCCGCGUGAGGGAU